RNAcentral lists this ribosomal RNA (1360 nucleotides) under uncultured bacterium. RNAcentral describes it as "bacterial SSU rRNA". It matches the Rfam family "Bacterial small subunit ribosomal RNA", at positions 28 to 1382 of the family's 1533-position model. The record is from RNAcentral.
GAUGAACGCUAGCUACAGGCUUAACACAUGCAAGUCGAGGGGCAGCAUGGUCUUAGCUUGCUAAGGCCGAUGGCGACCGGCGCACGGGUGAGUAACACGUAUCCAACCUGCCGUCUACUCUUGGACAGCCUUCUGAAAGGAAGAUUAAUACAAGAUGGCAUCAUGAGUCCGCAUGUUCACAUGAUUAAAGGUAUUCCGGUAGACGAUGGGGAUGCGUUCCAUUAGAUAGUAGGCGGGGUAACGGCCCACCUAGUCUUCGAUGGAUAGGGGUUCUGAGAGGAAGGUCCCCCACAUUGGAACUGAGACACGGUCCAAACUCCUACGGGAGGCAGCAGUGAGGAAUAUUGGUCAAUGGGCGAGAGCCUGAACCAGCCAAGUAGCGUGAAGGAUGACUGCCCUAUGGGUUGUAAACUUCUUUUAUAAAGGAAUAAAGUCGGGUAUGGAUACCCGUUUGCAUGUACUUUAUGAAUAAGGAUCGGCUAACUCCGUGCCAGCAGCCGCGGUAAUACGGAGGAUCCGAGCGUUAUCCGGAUUUAUUGGGUUUAAAGGGAGCGUAGAUGGAUAUUUAAGUCAGUUGUGAAAGUUUGCGGCUCAACCGUAAAAUUGCAGUUGAUACUGGAUAUCUUGAGUGCAGUUGAGGCAGGCGGAAUUCGUGGUGUAGCGGUGAAAUGCUUAGAUAUCACGAAGAACUCCGAUUGCGAAGGCAGCCUGCUAAGCUGCAACUGACAUUGAGGCUCGAAAGUGUGGGUAUCAAACAGGAUUAGAUACCCUGGUAGUCCACACGGUAAACGAUGAAUACUCGCUGUUUGCGAUAUACUGCAAGCGGCCAAGCGAAAGCGUUAAGUAUUCCACCUGGGGAGUACGCCGGCAACGGUGAAACUCAAAGGAAUUGACGGGGGCCCGCACAAGCGGAGGAACAUGUGGUUUAAUUCGAUGAUACGCGAGGAACCUUACCCGGGCUUAAAUUGCAGAUGAAUUACGGUGAAAGCCGUAAGCCGCAAGGCAUCUGUGAAGGUGCUGCAUGGUUGUCGUCAGCUCGUGCCGUGAGGUGUCGGCUUAAGUGCCAUAACGAGCGCAACCCUUGUUGUCAGUUACUAACAGAUUCCGCUGAGGACUCUGACAAGACUGCCAUCGUAAGAUGUGAGGAAGGUGGGGAUGACGUCAAAUCAGCACGGCCCUUACGUCCGGGGCUACACACGUGUUACAAUGGGGGGUACAGAGGGCCGCUACCACGCGAGUGGAUGCCAAUCCCCAAAACCUCUCUCAGUUCGGACUGGAGUCUGCAACCCGACUCCACGAAGCUGGAUUCGCUAGUAAUCGCGCAUCAGCCACGGCGCGGUGAAAUACGUUCCCGGGCCCU